RNAcentral lists this ribosomal RNA (253 nucleotides) under uncultured bacterium. Its description in RNAcentral is "partial 16S ribosomal RNA". It matches the Rfam family "Bacterial small subunit ribosomal RNA", at positions 524 to 776 of the family's 1533-position model. The record is from RNAcentral.
UACGGAGGGUGCAAGCGUUAAUCGGAAUUACUGGGCGUAAAGGGCGCGUAGGCGGCCUGUUAAGCCAGAUGUGAAAGUCCCGGGCUUAACCUGGGAACCGCAUUUGGAACUGGCAGGCUUGAGUGCAGGAGAGGAAGGUAGAAUUCCCGGUGUAGCGGUGAAAUGCGUAGAGAUCGGGAGGAAUACCAGUGGCGAAGGCGGCCUUCUGGACUGACACUGACGCUGAGGCGCGAAAGCGUGGGUAGCAAACAGG